GGCGACGUAGCUCAGUGGCAGAGCAAGCGGCUCAUAAUCGCUGGGUCCUCAGUUCGAGUCUGAGCGUCGCCA
Molecule: non-coding RNA, 72 nt
Organism: Anaerolineae bacterium CG2_30_64_16
Lineage: Bacteria; Bacillati; Chloroflexota; Anaerolineae
Source: Rfam